This 482-nucleotide ribosomal RNA is filed under the name uncultured bacterium. RNAcentral describes it as "SSU rRNA". It matches the Rfam family "Bacterial small subunit ribosomal RNA", at positions 26 to 521 of the family's 1533-position model. The record is from RNAcentral.
AGGACGAACGCUGGCGGCGUGCUUAACACAUGCAAGUCGAGCGGUGAUCCUCCUUCGGGAGGUGAGCAGCGGCGAACGGGUGAGUAACACGUGGGCAACCUGCCCCUCACACUGGGAUAACCUCGGGAAACCGGGGCUAAUACCGGAUAUGACCUCGAGCGGCAUCUCUUGAGGUGGAAAGCUCCGACGGUGAGGGAUGGGCCCGCGGCCUAUCAGCUUGUUGGUGGGGUAAUGGCCUACCAAGGCGACGACGGGUAGCCGGCCUGAGAGGGCGACCGGGCCACGACUGGGACUGAGACACGGCCCAGACUCCUACGGGAGGCAGCAGUGGGGAAUAUUGCGCAAUGGGCGAAAGCCUGACGCAGCGACGCCGCGUGAGGGAUGAAGGCCUUCGGGUUGUAAACCUCUUUCAGCAGGGACGAAGCGAAAGUGACGGUACCUGCAGAAGAAGCACCGGCUAACUACGUGCCAGCAGCCGCGGU